AAGAUGUAACGGGGCUAAGCCAGUCACCGAAGCUGCGGAUGCACGUAAGUGCAUGGUAGGAGAGCGUUCUGUAAGCCUGUGAAGGUGUCUUGUGAAGGAUGCUGGAGGUAUCAGAAGUGCGAAUGCUGACAUGAGUAGCGAUAAAGGGGGUGAAAGGCCCCCUCGCCGUAAGCCCAAGGUUUCCUACGCAACGUUCAUCGGCGUAGGGUGAGUCGGCCCCUAAGGCGAGGCAGAGAUGCGUAGCUGAUGGGAAGCAGGUUAAUAUUCCUGCACCGUCGUAUGAUGCGAUGGGGGGACGGAUCGCGGAAGGUUGUCCGGGUGUUGGAUG
RNAcentral lists this ribosomal RNA (328 nucleotides) under Ralstonia solanacearum. It matches the Rfam family "Bacterial large subunit ribosomal RNA", at positions 1167 to 1504 of the family's 2925-position model. Lineage: Bacteria; Pseudomonadati; Pseudomonadota; Betaproteobacteria; Burkholderiales; Burkholderiaceae. The record is from RNAcentral.